GAUGAACGCUAGCGAUAGGCCUAACACAUGCAAGUCGAGGGGCAUCACAUGAAGUAGCAAUACGGAUGGUGGCGACCGGCGCACGGGUGAGUAACACGUAUGCAACCUGCCUUCAACAAGGGGAUAACCCGUUGAAAGACGGACUAAUACCCUAUAACACAGGGGUCCCGCAUGGGAAUAUUUGUUAAAGGACAACCGGUUGAAGAUGGGCAUGCGUUCCAUUAGCUAGUUGGCGGGGUAACGGCCCACCAAGGCAACGAUGGAUAGGGGAACUGAGAGGUUUAUCCCCCACACUGGUACUGAGACACGGACCAGACUCCUACGGGAGGCAGCAGUGAGGAAUAUUGGUCAAUGGACGCAAGUCUGAACCAGCCACGUCGCGUGAAGGAAGACGGCCCUAGGGUUGUAAACUUCUUUUAACGGGAAUAAAGUGCCCCACGCGUGGGGUUUUGCAUGUACCGUAUGAAUAAGGAUCGGCUAACUCCGUGCCAGCAGCCG
This 498-nucleotide ribosomal RNA is filed under the name uncultured bacterium. RNAcentral's name for it is "bacterial SSU rRNA". It matches the Rfam family "Bacterial small subunit ribosomal RNA", at positions 28 to 517 of the family's 1533-position model. The record is from RNAcentral.